Molecule: ribosomal RNA, 214 nt
Filed under: uncultured bacterium
Lineage: Bacteria
Description: partial 16S ribosomal RNA
Rfam family: Bacterial small subunit ribosomal RNA
Source: RNAcentral
AUCCCAGUUCGGAUCGCAGGCUGCAACCCGCCUGCGUGAAGUUGGAAUCGCUAGUAAUCGCGGAUCAGCAUGCCGCGGUGAAUACGUUCCCGGGCCUUGUACACACCGCCCGUCACACCAUGAGAGUCGGGAACACCCGAAGUCCGUAGCCUAACUGCAAGGGGCGCGGCCGAAGGUGGGUUCGAUAAUUGGGGUGAAGUCGUAACAAGGUACC